CUAAUUAAUUUUGAACCGAGCUAGCCUACAUUAGAAAAGAUUUACAUUAAGGGCAAGCUUAUGGUACCCAUUGCAUACAUGUGACUUAAAUUGUGAGAGUGAGUGUUUCCAUUCAUAUAUUUGAGUAUUUGACUUGAUUGUGUGAAAUGAAUUCCGUUUGUGUUAACGUGAUUGUGAGGGCAUAUGAUUCGUGAUAGAAAAACAAGUCUUGACUUCUGUGUAGAGUGCUUUGAAGAAGUGCGAAUAUUGCGUGGCACUUAAGAGUUAGCUUUGAGGCUAGCAUUGUUCACUGCUAGGCGCAACGUAUAUAUAUAUUGUUCUAGGUGGAAUGCGCUAGGGCAAAUAGUUGAGUAGAAAAGUAUCUAGAGAGCAUGGUGUGCUUGCUCGAGGGCUAGCAAUGAAUUAAGUGUGGGGUGCUGAUAAUAGGCGAAAUCAAGGUGAUUUAGCCAUUGUUUGUGCCUCUACUUGAUUGUAUUCCGAUCGUAUAUUAUGAUUAUUGAUGAAAGAUGGGCUCUAAUAGCGAAUUGUGUUUGUUGCAGGUUAAGGAGCUUAUGUUGGGCAAGAAAACAUCGAUUGGAACCAUUCGGGAGCAAUUAAGACCCCGCGGGACUGAGUGUGACCGAAGAGAGACAAGUAAAUGGUGAAGUUGGACACCUGGGCAUGCGCGCCCAGGUGCGAGCGCACGCAUAAUACGCGCGUCCAUUACAAAGGACUGGGCAGUUGCGCGUCCAGAUGUGCGGCCUUCUGUGCGCUCGCGCAUGUCCGGGAAACAAGUGUCAUGUUUCAGGGGAAAAUAUGGAAUCUGGGGGAAAAUCCCACUUAAACUAUCUAAAGUCAAGCUUGCCCAAGGUCAAGAUAUCAAGGUUUUCAUAACGUUUUGCAAGAAUUAGAGAGGCAAGAGGCAAGGAGAAUUUUGGAUCAUCAAGUUCUUUUCUUCUCUUUGUUUUUGAUAAUUGUGAUGA
This 962-nucleotide long non-coding RNA is filed under the name Nicotiana benthamiana. Its description in RNAcentral is "long non-coding RNA (NBEN_LNC005307)". The record is from RNAcentral. Lineage: Eukaryota; Viridiplantae; Streptophyta; Magnoliopsida; Solanales; Solanaceae.